AAUGCUUCUUUCAGGUAGACAUGAUUUUCUGAGAAAUCCCCGAAGCCAACUCCGAACCUCGAACUGUUUUCUUCCCCGCCUAAGCAUCCCUGGUUCACGCCUUUUUGGCGGUUGUUGGUAGUUUAGUAUCCGAUUGCAUCCGAUUUAUGAUCGAACCCGGUCCGACCAGCGGGUUUUAAAAAAUUGAGUGGUUUAAUUUGCCAAUUAUCUAGAAGAACCUCGCUAAACCCCUCCCUCCAACUUUCUCCGGACCGGAACAGUGUGUGAUUCGUAUAUUCUUCUUCAGUGGCGUGGCGACUUCCCUUCUUCUGAAUGGUGUGUUUCACGCUCACUUUCUCUCCGUCGGUGGGUCGGAGGAGCUCUGGGUUUCAAUUCCCUUUAUCCACAAAUUCACGGCGGAAGAAGAUUCUCAUAUGUUUAUGCAAGAGUUUGAGUUAGGCUUUCUAGUAGAAUAGCUAUGGUUUCAGAUCCGAUUUGGGUUUAAAGUUUCCAUCUUUAAUUACUGUUUCUGCUCUUACUUAGUGGGGGAACAAAGAUUCUAUCUUUGAAGUUGUAAGAUGAGAACUUUCUUUCCACUGAUUAGGAAUCAUCUGGUUGAAGAGCUAGUUAGGUGUGUGUGUGUGUGUGUGCUCACUAAGAUUUGGUUUCUCGCUUGUGUGUGUGUGUACUGUGUAGAGUAGAGAGAUCAUUGGCUACUCUUGCCGAUGGAGGAGCUUCUCAUUUUGACGAGAUGGUAUCUGCGGGUCAGUGGAAGUAUUACCUUCUGGGCGGUAAAGGAGGUGUCGGGGAAAACAAGCUGUGCUGCUUCUCUCGCGGUUAACUUUGCUAGCCACGGGUCAUCCCACCAUCGUCCUUUCAACUGAUCCUUGAGUGAUUCUUUCUCUCAGGACUUGUCCUGAAGCCGGUUCAAGGUGUUGAUUCUACACUUCUAGCUCUCGAGAUAACACCUGAGAGAAUGAAGGAAGAAAUUAAAAGUCGUUAAAAAUAUGAUGGAUAGCAUGGGGGGGGGGGGUAGGAAUGUUAAUGUUUUGCUGGUGAGUCCAAUGAGUUGGACCAACUGAAAGAGAGAAUGGAUAAAGUUGGAAAUGUUUUCCGUGAUGUGGACACUACUGAGUUUGUCAUUGUUACCAUCCCAACGGUCAUGGCAAUAAACGAGUCUUUGGGAUUACAUGCAUCUUUAAGAAAAGAAAAUGUGGCCAGUUCACAGGCUUGUUGUUAAUCAUCUUCUCCCUCGUUCUGAAUCCGACUGCAAAUUUUGCUCAGUGAGACGAAAGGUAAUGCUUUUAUGGAUAGCCGCUUUCUGAUUCAUUGGAUCUUGGAUGAUCCCCUUCAUGCGGUUAAUGGCUAGAGACCCUGUCGCAAUGGUCCUGUAUGCGGUUGUGGUAUCGGUUUGUGCACCGGUUUGGGAAGAGAUAGUGUUCAGAGGGUUCUUGUUACCGUCUCUGACUAGGUACAUGCGGGUUUGGUGUACGAUUCUUGUGAGUUCAGUUGCGUUUGCUUUGGUGCAUUUUAAUGAUGUUGCCGUUGGUGUUCCUUGGAGUGGUUUUGGGUUUGUUCCCUUCGAGGUUGUUGCAUUUGCAUAGCUUGUGGAAUGGCUUUGUGUUCAUGGAAUUAAUGCGAUGGUGAUAUCUUAUGUAGGUGUCUGUUUUUUACCUUAUUAUUCUUGUAGUUGAUUCAUGUUAUGAUUUGUAGUAUUCUUUUAAUUAA
Molecule: long non-coding RNA, 1707 nt
Organism: Brassica oleracea var. oleracea
Lineage: Eukaryota; Viridiplantae; Streptophyta; Magnoliopsida; Brassicales; Brassicaceae
Exons: 6
Source: RefSeq, a predicted model, not a curated record